Manis pentadactyla (Chinese pangolin) is the source of this 651-nucleotide long non-coding RNA. RefSeq lists it as uncharacterized. The transcript is spliced from 4 exons. Lineage: Eukaryota; Metazoa; Chordata; Mammalia; Pholidota; Manidae. The record is from RefSeq and is a predicted model, not a curated record.
GCUCAGAGCCACUGGCAGAGCUGGGCAUGGUGUCCUUGCCCAGGACUUGCCUCGGCAGCAGCAAAGGAAAGCGACUGGAGUGGCAGACCUAGCCUGGAGGUUCAGGCUCUGUUGGUUCAAUCCUUUUAAGAAAUCAAGGCCAAGAAGAAAUUAGACGUGUAAGAGAGCCACUGGGGGCUGCCACCCAAGACAAGGGAGGGCAGGAGGAGGUGGCGAGCCCACUGCCCAUCUGACCAGUGAAAGAAGGGGAAGGAAGGGCUCAGACCCCAGCACAGUUCCAAGGAAGCAGCAGCAGUGGGAGGCACAGCAGAGGCCGUUCCCUGACCUGGACCUGCGCCCCAGGCCUCCCUGUCCCUCUUGCUGCAGGUCAGCUGCGGGGACACCUCCCCAACGCUGCCUUGGAGGGUUCAGCAGCUACGUGCACGGUCACCUCCUUUCCCACCACAACUCGCAGCAGACCUGGCUGAUCGCACAUCACAUUGGGUGACAGACAGGAGCUCCGCUGAGGCUCAGCCCCACUACUCCUUCCCUGGAGGAAGCAACAGGCUCCCCAGACUGGGAAAGAACACCCAGAAGAGGAGGAAAAGACCUCCCCUUCCGAAUGCCGAGCUCGGAGAGCUAGCUUUGUAUUUAAAGAAGAAAAAUCUGGAA